CCUACGGGAGGCAGCAGUGAGGAAUAUUGGACAAUGGGCGCAAGCCUGAUCCAGCCAUGCCGCGUGCAGGAAGAAGCAUCUAUGGUGUGUAAACUGCUUUUGUACAGGAAGAAACACUCCCUCGUGAGGGAGCUUGACGGUACUGUAAGAAUAAGGACCGGCUAACUCCGUGCCAGCAGCCGCGGUAAUACGGAGGGUCCGAGCGUUAUCCGGAAUCAUUGGGUUUAAAGGGUCCGUAGGCGGUUUAAUAAGUCAGUGGUGAAAUCUGGUCGCUCAACGAUCAAACGGCCAUUGAUACUGUUAGACUUGAAUUAUAAGGAAGUAACUAGAAUAUGUAGUGUAGCGGUGAAAUGCUUAGAUAUUACAUGGAAUACCAAUUGCGAAGGCAGGUUACUACUUAUGGAUUGACGCUGAUGGACGAAAGCGUGGGGAGCGAACAGGAUUAGAUACCCUGGUAGUCCACGCCGUAAACGAUGGAUACUAGCUGUUCGGAGCAAUCUGGNGUGNGUAGACGAAGUAGAUAAGUAUACCCACCGUCGGGUAGGUUACGGUUACGUACGAAGAAGUAGAAACGUACGAAAGUAAGUAAGUUAGGUACGGUGAGAGACGUACGACGACGGACGACGACGGGAGGGAGGAGG
This 641-nucleotide ribosomal RNA is filed under the name uncultured bacterium. Its description in RNAcentral is "bacterial SSU rRNA". The stretch from base 1 to 535 matches the Rfam family "Bacterial small subunit ribosomal RNA", at positions 338 to 873 of the family's 1533-position model. The record is from RNAcentral.